CAGUAGGCAGUUUCUCUUCAGACUUGAUACAGUCUCUCCUCAUCUGAGUCUCAUUCUUGUUCUUGAAAAAAACCUGCAACAAUGGCACAAUUUGGCCAUCUGGUGGCAGUGUUGAGCCUAUGCCUGCUGGCUGCUGUGGUGAACUGUCAACAGACCACCCCCCCACCUCCUCCUCGUCUAGGACAAGAGAUCUGCACACACUACACUCAGGGUGGGACCCUCCUUCUGGAUGGGCCAAAAGUCUUUGAAAUGAUGCUGAUUGAGUUUGGACGGGCAAUUCAGACCCUGAACCCUAUGGUGACUCAACAGUGGAUGGAUGAAGUAGAUGACGAUCACGACAAACGCCUCAACAUGGCGGAGUGUGCCAAACUCGUCCAGAGAGUCUCUGAUUCCAUUCAGAGGCCUCCGCAAUAAACAAGUCAUGUCGACUGAUUGAAGUAACUUGUACUUGUGUACGGAAGUACAGUAUAUGAAGAAAAAAUAAGAUCUCACAAACACUUAGUAUGUAGGUCUGUAGCUUAAUCUCAUGUAAUAAAUAUUAUAAUGUAGGC
Cyprinus carpio (common carp) is the source of this 551-nucleotide long non-coding RNA. NCBI's taxonomy places the organism in Eukaryota, Metazoa, Chordata, Actinopteri, Cypriniformes, Cyprinidae. The record is from Ensembl.